GAAUCUGAUUAGCGUCUGCAUGCAGGUAAAGCCAUUGUGAGCACCAACGAAACUUUAGGUACAUUCACAACUGGGACUUAGACCCACAUUACUGGAAUGCUAACAUAUGAUUGAAAGCCUCAUAUCUGGAAGGUUCUCUUAGCUGGCAUAGUUCACAUGCACAUCCAUUUUGCUGCUAUAAUUGAGACCACGUCCUGUGAAGUCUACCCUAAUCAAGCAGACCUCCUUUCGUGGAUCAGUACACUAGCCAUAGUCUUUGGAUUAGCAUCAGACAUGGCCCCAGGGAAGCUCACAAGGUCCUCACCUCCUUCACCCACCAGCCUGACCAAGGGUGGAUGUCAAGGGAAAUCUCUCCCACGCUCAUUCUGUGUAUGAUGAUGGUAGCAGUAAGCACAAACCCGGAUGAGGAGAGAUGCAAACAAUGGGGGUGCCAACACCAGAGCCUGCAUAUGUUGACGUGGACAAAGGACUAACAUUAGCAUGUUUUGUCUUCCUUUGCCUUUUCUUGAUUGUCAUGAUUAUUCGCUGUGCAAAAGUCAUCAUGGACCCUUACAGCGCUAUUCCAACUUCCACAUGGGAGGAGCAGCACCUGGGUGACUGAAAGGACACUGCGGGAAGCUUUCACAGCACAAUCUGGAAGGCCUUUUCAUUCAGAGAAGGCUUAACAAGGGGAGAAGAUCACGGAACCCAGUCAAAUGGUGGACCUUUAAUGUUUCAACAUGCAAGAGAAAUUGAAUAAAACAAUACAUUUGUGAGCUGUGGAACCUCUGGCUUUUCUAAGCCUACCUGCCUUUCUCAAACAACAGCAGGGAUGGGGUAAGAUCAUCAUUUUAUACAGCCACUUCCAGAUGGCCUGUUCACCAGAUACAUAGAAGAGAUUUCAAAGAUACCGGCCUCUAAGUGUCCAUAAGUAUGGGCUGGAGUGUUCCUGCAUAAAGGGACAUGAAAGGUGGCAGCUGUAGACAGAGCCCCUUCUCCCUUUGCUGGGAUGGGAGAGUAAUUACUACCAUCCCCCUUUCCCUAGCACAAUACAGGGGUUCACACACAAGGAGCAGCAUGGGGAUUGGAGUUAGAGCAGGGGAGUGGCCACUCUCUGUAGCGCUGCUCCCUUAGACCCUAUAUGGAAAUCAUGAGGGAGCUAAUUCUGUCCCAAGAGGUGCUAUGACCUCUAGGUUUGGAGGCCAACCUUUCCUAGGCAGCCAUUUUGAUGUCCCUUCCCUGAUCAGCUGUGUAAGAGGGGUGCUGAGGUUAAACCUUGGCUCGCAGGGUACCAUGUAAUGUAGCCUGUCUUAAUGAUUAUUCUGCAGCACUGUGGUAUAGAUGCCUAAGCCCCUGCAAUUGUUUACUUUGGACUGGACUUGUAUUGAGUAACAUCUGAAAACAAGGAACAUUUUGGGGGGAAAAUACUGAUGCGCAUUUAACAUUCACUGAAACACAUCGGCUUGGGCUGGUAUGUACUGCAUGCGACCUGGCCAACAACAGUAUUUCAUGCUAUUUUCACCCUAGAGAGGAAACCCUUUGAAAGUACUUUCUUGCAGCUUGGUGACAAACAGGUAAAUUCUUUCCUGUUUUAAAUGAACCCUAUUGCUAAAGACUCAAUGGAAUUAUUCUUGUUUAUACCAGCAGUGAAUCUGCAGGGAACUGGAGUGGGAAAUAUGUGGUUGAGUUUGCAACAAAGACUCUUAAAGAGAAAAAACAGUAAGAUUUAUAACCAUAUUCUAGCAAGAAACAGAGGUUUGAAUCCUCUGAGUUCUUGUAACAGGCUCUAUAGCUCUGAGCUAAAGAUCAGAGCUUGAGUGAACAACCUGAGUCACUCUAAAUGCAUUUAUGAGAGAAGUAAUUAACCCUGAAUUUACAGAACAGAGACCUUGUCCAAUGCUAGCUUACAGCUUUUCCUGAAAGAAAUAGAGGGAUGUGCAUGAUGCCAGCUAGGGAAUUACAACAGCAGCACAUUCCUGCUGAUUCAGUGUGGGUCUGAGAGGGUAACUCAGUCCCCCACUGCUUGAGGCCAAUGAGCAAGGCUAGCGCAGGAGUUGCAAGCUUUGGUGAGAAGAAUGUGUUUGCACACUCUGGACAUCCAGAUGCCAUAAGAAAGUCUUGAUUCAAUCACAUUGCAGGCUGCGUAGGUUGAAGUCUCUAUCGUCCUGAGAAAGGGAGAUGAAGCAGGUGGCAUUGAAGCAUCUGGCUACCUGUAUGACAUAAAUGCAAGGGGAGGAGAGGAGCUGUGCAGUUGCAUCUCACAUUGGUCUGACUUUUAACAUGAACAUGGUAAAUGGACUUUGCAAACACUGCAGAGCCAGGACAACGUAUUUAAUCUGUUUAGGGACCCCUGGUGCCCAUUAAAAAUGGUGGAGCUGCAAGAGGGGUAGAGGCACCAAUGACCACGUAAGACAUCCCUAGCUUUAGUUUUAAGAGACCGAUAAGUCUAUGAGCAGGAUUAUCUGAUGGGGCUGCCUGCGAUAGCAGGGGACUGGAGUCAAUGGCCCAGGAGGUCCCUUCCAGUCCUAGGUAGCCCUCUACUUUGCCUUUGUGGAGCAGAACUGAAAUAGCUCCUCAAAAGCCUAUAUUCCUGGCUCUGAGCUGCCGCCCUCUGCUGCCUGCAGUCCAUAUGUCAUCAGUCAGGUGUAGCACAGCUUCCAGCAGCAGGAGCAACUUCACGGGAGCUCUCCAGUGGCAGCAGGUGGUAUUGCACCCUACAGUACGUCAGCCACACUACAUGGAUGUGGUGUGACUGGCGGGGCUUAGCUCCAUCGUCCCGGAAGGAUCAGCUGCCCCUACAGCUUUGCGCUCGAGCUGAUCACACAUAGAUGAAACCCCACACACCUUUUCACAGCUCUGUCCUGCUUCCUUGGAGGCACUAGGCCCAAUUCUGACAUCACCUACACCAGUUUUACACUGGCAUAAUUUCACUUGAAUUCAAUUCACUCCUGAUUUAGAAAUGCGUUGAAUCAAAAUCAAGCCAGCUACCUAUACAAAAAGCCCCAUUUCAGCUGAUUUCUGGAGAGUUCUCU
This is an RNA transcript of Dermochelys coriacea (leatherback sea turtle), 3011 nucleotides long. It is a transcript of the gene named cortexin domain containing 1, with no coding region annotated. The record is from RefSeq and is a predicted model, not a curated record. NCBI's taxonomy places the organism in Eukaryota, Metazoa, Chordata, Testudines, Dermochelyidae. The transcript has 5 exons.